Long non-coding RNA from Mytilus trossulus (common blue mussel), 407 nucleotides. RefSeq lists it as uncharacterized. NCBI's taxonomy places the organism in Eukaryota, Metazoa, Mollusca, Bivalvia, Mytilida, Mytilidae. The transcript is spliced from 3 exons. The record is from RefSeq and is a predicted model, not a curated record.
AUUUAAAAUUCUAUCACGUUUUAAGAUAUAAAUUUUGUUUAAAUAUAGCAAAUAAUAUAUUGAACUCCACUUGAAAAAGACUGGUAUCUUAUUUAGUGAGGAGUUGUGUACUUCAACUGGGUUUCCUGAACGUUAACAAGAAAAUCAAAAUGUGUUUCAAAGUAACCUGCGAAUCAUGUAACAAGCCAACAUGGGCAGGAUGUGGAAAUCAUAUUGAAAAAUGUUUGAAAGACAUUCCACCAGAAGAAAGAUGUAAAUGCCCGAAAAAGUCAAAUUAAUGGAAAUAUUUUGCAGAUUGGUGUUGGUUACACGAGUGAACAGAAGAACAAGAAACCUUUUAAUUUGUAACUUUUGAUUUUAUUGAUAUGUCUAUUCAUCAUGAGUAUACAUUAAAAUAUUUAAAUGCA